CAGCACGGUAAUACGAGGGGGGCUAGCGUUGUUCGGAAUUACUGGGCGUAAAGGGCGCGUAGGCGGCCAUUCAAGUUAGAUGUGAAAGCCCUGGGCUCAACCUAGGAAUUGCAUUUGAUACUGUUUGGCUUGAGUUCGGGAGAGGUGAGUGGAAUUCCCAGUGUAGAGGUGAAAUUCGUAGAUAUUGGGAAGAACACCAGUGGCGAAGGCGGCUCACUGGACCGACACUGACGCUGAGGCGCGAAAGCGUGGGGAGCAAACAGGAUUAGAUACCCCUGUAGUCCCUGUCUCUUAUACACAU
RNAcentral lists this ribosomal RNA (301 nucleotides) under uncultured bacterium. RNAcentral's name for it is "partial 16S ribosomal RNA". It matches the Rfam family "Bacterial small subunit ribosomal RNA", at positions 512 to 816 of the family's 1533-position model. The record is from RNAcentral.